This is a small nuclear RNA of Callithrix jacchus (white-tufted-ear marmoset), 143 nucleotides long. Its record names the gene U4. It matches the Rfam family "U4 spliceosomal RNA". From Rfam's summary of the family: U4 small nuclear RNA (U4 snRNA) is a component of the major U2-dependent spliceosome. The structure of U4 snRNA from yeast and human has been reported. The record is from Ensembl. NCBI's taxonomy places the organism in Eukaryota, Metazoa, Chordata, Mammalia, Primates, Cebidae.
AGCUUUGCGCAGUGGCAGUAUCAUAGCCAAUGAGGUAUAUCUGAGGUGCGAUUAUUGCUAAUUGAAAACUUUUCCCAAUACCCCCUGCUAUGACGACUUGAAAUAUAGUUGGCAUUGGCAAUUUUUGACAGUCUCUAUGGAGA